AUCUCGCCCCCAUGCCCUGGGGCACACUUGCUAUUUCAUGGAGGGCAAAUAUGGGAGUCAAGUCAGGUUGCUCGAUCCCACCUCCAUCAUAAGCCGUGUCCACUCUGACCAAGACCUGCUCGGAGAAGUCUCCUGCGGUAAUAAGAACUUCACUCUGUGAUGUUGCCUCUCAUCCUCUUAAAUCUCCCAUCUCAUACCCGAUCCAUCUGUAUUUGAAGCUCCACCUCGCUUUGGGCUCCCUCUGAUUUUUGAAGCUCC
RNAcentral lists this long non-coding RNA (258 nucleotides) under Elaeis guineensis (African oil palm). Its description in RNAcentral is "long non-coding RNA (EGUI_LNC048425)". The record is from RNAcentral. Lineage: Eukaryota; Viridiplantae; Streptophyta; Magnoliopsida; Arecales; Arecaceae.